Molecule: ribosomal RNA, 492 nt
Filed under: uncultured bacterium
Lineage: Bacteria
Description: partial 16S ribosomal RNA
Rfam family: Bacterial small subunit ribosomal RNA
Source: RNAcentral
AGUGAACGCUGGCGGUAGGCCUAACACAUGUAAGUCGAAUGGCAGCUCUGUAAGAGUUUGCUUUUAUGGGUGGCGAGUGGCGGACGAGUGCGGAAAACAUUGCACUAUACUUUUUCUUGGGGGACAACGUCGGGAAACUUACGCUAAUACAUCAUACUUCCUACGGCUGAAAGCAGGGGACAUACGGACUUCGCGCGAUCCGAUGCGUCGAAGCCAGGUUAGCUUGUUUGCGGGGGAAAGGCACACCAAGCCGACGAUCCGUAGCCGGUCUGAGAGGAUAAUCUGCCACACUGCAACUGAGACAAGCUCCAGACUCCUGCGGGAGGCAACAGUGAGGAAUAUUGAACAAUGGGCGCAAACCUGCUCCAGCCAUACCGCGUAGGUGAAGAAGGCCUUCGGGUUGUAAAGCCCUUUUGUUGGGAAAGAAAAGCAGCAGGUUAAUACCCCGCUAUUCUGACGGUACCCAAAGAAUAAGCACCGGCUAACUUCGUG